GUGGGGAAUAUUGGGCAAUGGGCGAAAGCCUGACCCAGCAACGCCGCGUGAAGGAAGAAGGUCUUCGGAUCGUAAACUUCUAUCCUUGGUGAAGAUAAUGACGGUAGCCAAGAAGGAAGCCCCGGCUAACUACGUGCCAGCAGCCGCGGUAAUACGUAGGGGGCAAGCGUUGUCCGGAAUGAUUGGGCGUAAAGGGCGCGUAGGCGGCCCGGUAAGUCUGAAGUGAAAAUCCUGAUUUUAAGGUGGGAAUUGCUUUGGAGACUGUCGGGCUUGAGUGCAGGAGAGGUAAGCGGAAUUCCCGGUGUAGCGGUGAAAUGCGUAGAGAUCGGGAGGAACACCAGUGGCGAAGGCGGCUUACUGGACUGUAACUGACGCUGAGGCGCGAAAGUGUGGGGAGCAAACAGGAUUAGAUACCCGGGUAGUCC
This 425-nucleotide ribosomal RNA is filed under the name uncultured bacterium. RNAcentral's name for it is "partial 16S ribosomal RNA". It matches the Rfam family "Bacterial small subunit ribosomal RNA", at positions 354 to 796 of the family's 1533-position model. The record is from RNAcentral.